AAAAAAAAUUGAGAAGGUAACUACGGACUUCAUUGGUCUAUUGUUAAUACAUAAUGAGACGAUACAGUGAAAGAACUCUCCAAAUGACAAAGCACUAUCUCCAUCUAAGAAUAUCGCUUCUGUUGCAUCAUAGUGAAGUAGUUCCACAGGUGUUUCUGCUCGGACUGACUGGUUCAAAUCUCGGCUGUACUGCCAGGAUUUAAGACACUUUGAAAAUGGGCAAAGCCUCAUUUUUCCUAGGUCAAAAGGAGUUCAAGAUUGGGGAAAUCUGAGGAUUCAGAAGGAUGAUAAAUGUUAGAACAUGGAAUCAGGGUGCUUAGAUUCUUGGUGCCUCAAUUUCUCUGUCAGUUAAAUGCCGUAUGAUCAAAUGACUCUUUUCUCAUUGGCUUGAUGUGAGAAAGAAAUGACUACAUAUAAUAAUCAGCAACAUUCCUGGCACAUAGUAAACAUCGAUGUAUUAUUAUUAAUACCUCCACCUACGCUAUAUACUGACUCUCUAUCCUCCCUCUCUUCCUCCUUCCCUGGAUCUUAAAAGAUGAGUGUGAUUAGAAACAAAAUUUUGUUGUGAUAAAGUCCACCUGAAUGUUCCCUCAGAUACUAACUAAAUCUCUUUCACAUGCAACCUUUGGACAAAAGUCUCUUCCUUUUUGCUAGGAAUUUUCCUAUUUUUCUCAUUUCUUCUCCUCCUGCUUUAGGAAAGAAAAAAAAAGCAUAUGCAAGAAUUAUUUUUUCUUCUCCCCAGAUGUCACCAGCACUAACACCUGUCCUAGUUCCAGCUCUGGUGAACUCCAGCAGACCUGCUCAAGUGGACAGCAUUAGGGACCUUGUCAGUUUUGCAGUGCUUUUUGCCUGAAGCCACCUCAGGUCCCUCAUGCUGCAGCAACACGAUUCAUGACUCUGUUGCAGAAUGUGAAGGAGCAAGUCUCUCAAUUGGCUAAUUGAAUCAAGCUCUGCAAUUUCCUUCUUCCCUGGAGCCUGAUCCUGCAGGACAAGGAUCUAUUUUCAAGUCAAUUACAAUUCCUAAGGGAUAUAAUUACCUACAAAAUCAGCAAAGGAACCCUAUUUCUCUUAUGGUGCAGAGCAAAACCAGUGUGGCUGGAAAGGAGAAAGAAGGAAAGGGGGCUUCAAGCAAGAUCAUGUGCAUUGUCAGACUUCAGAUCAUCCAAGGCCUUGUAAGAUUAGGGGACUUUUUUUUUUUUUUGCAUAAGUCAUAAAGAAAUCACUGUGGGGGAAUCAAACACUAAACAGGUAUGCAAGAUAAUUUCAGAUAAAGUAUAUGAAACAAAAAUGGGAUAGAGCAAGUUUAGAGGAGAUAAUGAUGAGGAAUGUCCUCUCUGAGGAGGUGACAUUUGAACGGAGACCUGAAUGGGACAAAAGGGCUAGUGGAGAAGAGAUCUGAAGAAAGAGCAUUUCAAGCAUUAGAGUAAAUAGGGCAAAAAUCAGGAAGCAGGACUGUGCUGUUUGUUUAAUACACAGAAAGAAAGAAAUGGUUAACUGGAAUUUGGACUCGGGACUUGAGUUCAAAUUCAAAGUUAUUUAUGCUGCCCCCAAAUGCGACUACCUAACUGAGCCUGCUGUUUGCUAAGGAUUAGGGGCUUUCUCUGUUUCACUAGAUGGUAAGUACCUGAGCAUAGGGACCAUGUCUUCCCACUUAUUUCUGCAAACUUAGUAUCUGGGCCCUGUCUAGUACCUGUUAGACUCUCAGUAAAUAUUCAUUGAAUGAAAACAUCUCUACAAUUACAAUACCCUGACUGUAUAUCUACUGUUAAAAUUCUAAGACUAGAAAAAAACAAUUUAAAUGUUGAAAUUCAGUCAGCCAAUUGGUAAUUUAAUAACCCAACUAAAAAAAAAAACCCAGAAGACAAAAUAGUCAAACCAUUUCUAAGAGUAGCUGCAGACUAAAUAACAAGAAAAGAAAAAAAUUAUCUAAAGCAACGCUUCUCAACGUCAGUGCUAUUAGCAUUUGGGGCUGAAUAAUUCUUGGUCAUGGGAGCUGUCCUGAGCAUUAUUUAGUGGCAUCGUUAGUCGCUACUCAAUAGUUACUGGUAGCAUUCCCCUCUUGCGACAACCCAAAAUGUCUGCAGACAUUGCCAGAUGGCCCUAUUGAGAACACUGGUAUGAAAGUAUUAAUGCCAUGCCACUUUCUAAAAUGUUGCAGAAGUUGUUGUGCCACCCAGUGGGUUUUCAGUUGAUUUGUGUGCAAAGUUUUACCAAGAGGUAUGAUAAAUAUGUCC
This 2234-nucleotide long non-coding RNA is filed under the name Homo sapiens (human). RNAcentral describes it as "HSALNT0312328". Lineage: Eukaryota; Metazoa; Chordata; Mammalia; Primates; Hominidae. The record is from RNAcentral.